GACCUACGGGAGGCAGCAGUGGGGGAUAUUGCACAAUGGGGGGAACCCUGAUGCAGCGACGCCGCGUGGGCGAUGGAGCGCCUCGGCGCGUAAAGCCCUAUCAGCAGGGAAGAAGAUGACGGUACCUGACUAAGAAGCCCCGGCUAACUACGUGCCAGCAGCCGCGGUAAUACGUAGGGGGCAAGCGUUAUCCGGAUUUACUGGGUGUAAAGGGAGCGUAGACGGUAUGGCAAGUCUGAAGUGAAAGCCCAGGGCUUAACCCUGGGACUGCUUGGGAAACUGUUAGACUAGAGUGCUGGAGAGGU
This 305-nucleotide ribosomal RNA is filed under the name uncultured bacterium. Its description in RNAcentral is "bacterial SSU rRNA". It matches the Rfam family "Bacterial small subunit ribosomal RNA", at positions 334 to 658 of the family's 1533-position model. The record is from RNAcentral.